Molecule: ribosomal RNA, 643 nt
Filed under: Salmonella enterica
Lineage: Bacteria; Pseudomonadati; Pseudomonadota; Gammaproteobacteria; Enterobacterales; Enterobacteriaceae
Also listed under: 3 other names
Description: partial 23S ribosomal RNA
Rfam family: Bacterial large subunit ribosomal RNA
Source: RNAcentral
AGACCCGAAACCCGGUGAUCUAGCCAUGGGCAGGUUGAAGGUUGGGUAACACUAACUGGAGGACCGAACCGACUAAUGUUGAAAAAUUAGCGGAUGACCUGUGGCUGGGGGUGAAAGGCCAAUCAAACCGGGAGAUAGCUGGUUCUCCCCGAAAGCUAUUUAGGUAGCGCCUCGUGAAUUCAUCUCCGGGGGUAGAGCACUGUUUCGGCUAGGGGGCCAUCCCGGCUUACCAACCCGAUGCAAACUGCGAAUACCGGAGAAUGUUAUCACGGGAGACACACGGCGGGUGCUAACGUCCGUCGUGAAGAGGGAAACAACCCAGACCGCCAGCUAAGGUCCCAAAGUCAUGGUUAAGUGGGAAACGAUGUGGGAAGGCCCAGACAGCCAGGAUGUUGGCUUAGAAGCAGCCAUCAUUUAAAGAAAGCGUAAUAGCUCACUGGUCGAGUCGGCCUGCGCGGAAGAUGUAACGGGGCUAAACCAUGCACCGAAGCUGCGGCAGCGAACGUAUCACCCAAGACAACUUUACGGAGUUGACGAUUGACGGAGCGAAGCGACGUCAAAGCGUUCAUUAAAGUCGAGUUGGCUUAGGGAUACGUUCGUUGGGUAGGGGAGCGUUCUGUAAGCCUGUGAAGGUGUGUCGUGA